CCCAAAAAAUUAGCACAAAAUUCUGUACACUCACUAGUCACAACUAGUAGGAAGCUGUGGCUGCAGCCCUGCCUCCCUGCUCUCCAAAUUUCAAACAUGGCCAUCUCUUCUCUGCGACUCCCGUUCUCGCUGUGGCUUCCAAGACUCCCAAUUCAGAGCUUCCGUUUCUCAAAACCAAUUUUACCCCUAAGAUUGAACCUUAUUUACUGCUCCUCCUCUAUCUCCUCUACUGCUCAACAAACCUCAACCGACCUUGACAAAUGGCAAUCCGUUCGAAAGAAGAAAGUGGUUCUCCGGGUCGGGUACGUCGGCUCCGAUUACCGAGGCUUGCAAAUGCAACGAGACGAACAUUCAUUAUCUACUAUUGAAAAAGAACUGGAAACGGCCAUAUUCAAUGCCGGUGGUAUCCGCGAUAGUAAUCUCGGGAACCUUAACAAGAUUGCGUGGGCCAGAAGUAGCCGAACAGAUAAAGGAGUUCACUCAUUAGCGACAAUGAUAUCAUUUAAAAUGGAAAUCCCGGAGAAAGCAUGGGACGGAGACCCUUAUGGCAUUGCCCUUGCGAAUCACAUUAACUAUUAUCUUCCUCAUAAUAUCAAAGUUUUUAGCAUUUUGCCUGCGCAGAGGAGCUUUGAUCCUAGAAAGGAGUGUAAUCUCCGCAUGUAUUCAUACCUCCUUCCUGCUGAUGUUAUUGGAAUCAAAAGCCACUUCAGCGCAGCAGAAAUUGAUUAUCACAUCUCAGACUUCAAUAGUAUACUAAAUUGUUUCGAGGGAGAACAUCCUUUUCAUAAUUAUACCAUACGAUCUAAAUACAGGAGGAAGCUUCCUGUAAAAAAAUCACGUAGACAUGGAAGUGUGUCAAUAACAGGGAGAUCAACUGGAGAGGCAUCAGCCUCUGAGUCUGAGGAAAGUGAUAGGGAUGAAAAUUUUGAUGGAACAAAUGCACCAGAAACAGAUGCCGAGGUACUGAACCAAAAUUCUUCACCGUCUAGCAAUAGUGAGGGCAACUUACGCAAUGCUUGCGAGAAGCAGGGAGAUGGUGGUGGCAACGAUCAAAGUGCUGGUUCGGUCAUCCGUGCAAGAUGGUUAUAUGAACCUGAUGAAAGAGAUAGAAUAAGUGCUUCUCAUUUCAGAAAGAUUUUUCGCUGUUCUUGUGGGAAGCUAGAGAAAUCGCUUGGACAUGAUUAUGUUGAGCUUUCCAUUUCGGGAGAGUCUUUCAUGUUACAUCAAAUUCGCAAAAUGGUUGGAACUGCUGUGGCCAUAAAGCGCAAGUUACUCCCAAGAGAUAUUUUGACAUUAUCACUGGCCAUGUUCUCACGGAUAAUCCUACCACUUGCCCCAUCUGAAGUUCUGUUUUUAAGAGGAAACAGAUUUUCAAUCAGAGAACGACCUGGAAAUGUAACAAGGCCUGAAAUGAUGGCAAUGGUUGAAUCAGAAGAAAUUAUUAAGGCAGUUGACGAGUUCUACACAUCUGUUAUGUUGCCUGAAGUUUCAAAGUUCUUAGAACCUUCAGGAUAUCCUUGGAAAGAAUGGGUUGAAAACUUAGAUAGAAACACAGGCAUUCCUGAUGCAGAAUUGGAUGAAGUCAGGAAUGCUUGGAAAGUGUGGAAGGAAAAGUUUGACAGUGUUGCACCAGUCCUAAACCAAUGAGACAAGGUAGAUGCUGAUGAUUGCCAACUUAUUUGUCCGUUGAAAAUACUCCGAGGCCAUACAAGCUCAAAUGGGAGAGGAAUAAAGGACUGUAAAUUCCAUCCAAGGAAGCUCCGGUUAUUCACUGCUGGUGCUGACUUCUUAGGUGGAUCUUCAGGUGUUGAUCAGACUUUAUUUCCAUGGGGAGAGAAGAAAGGAAACCAAACUGCCUUUAGUGGGUCAUACUGCACAUUUAUGGAUCUCAUUAGUUGGAUCUGGAUUUCCUGUGCUUUAAAAUAUGUUUUUGAGUUGUUGAAUUUUUGUACGUCUCAUCUGCUCACAGCUGUUUCUUUCAUAAUUUUGACAUUAUACAACUAAUCUGUUUUUUCUUUCUUUUUUGGGCCAAAA
This is an RNA transcript of Prunus avium (sweet cherry), 2034 nucleotides long. It is a transcript of the gene named Pseudouridine synthase family protein, with no coding region annotated. Lineage: Eukaryota; Viridiplantae; Streptophyta; Magnoliopsida; Rosales; Rosaceae. The record is from RefSeq and is a predicted model, not a curated record.